Molecule: ribosomal RNA, 482 nt
Filed under: uncultured bacterium
Lineage: Bacteria
Description: partial 16S ribosomal RNA
Rfam family: Bacterial small subunit ribosomal RNA
Source: RNAcentral
AUUGAACGCUGGCGGCAUGCCUUACACAUGCAAGUCGAACGGUAACAGGUCUUCGGAUGCUGACGAGUGGCGAACGGGUGAGUAAUACAUCGGAACGUGCCCGAUCGUGGGGGAUAACGAGGCGAAAGCUUUGCUAAUACCGCAUACGAUCUACGGACGAAAGCGGGGGAUCUUCGGACCUCGCGCGGACGGAGCGGCCGAUGGCAGAUUAGGUAGUUGGUGGGAUAAAAGCUUACCAAGCCGACGAUCUGUAGCUGGUCUGAGAGGAUGAUCAGCCACACUGGGACUGAGACACGGCCCAGACUCCUACGGGAGGCAGCAGUGGGGAAUUUUGGACAAUGGGCGAAAGCCUGAUCCAGCCAUGCCGCGUGCAGGAUGAAGGCCUUCGGGUUGUAAACUGCUUUUGUACGGAACGAAAAGCCUCUUUCUAAUAAAGAGGGGUCAUGACGGUACCGUAAGAAUAAGCACCGGCUAACUACGUG